UACACUCCUGGGGAGGCAGCAGUGGGGAAUUUUGGACAAUGGGCGAAAGCCUGAUCCAGCAAUGCCGCGUGAGUGAAGAAGGCCUUCGGGUUGUAAAGCUCUUUUGUCAGGGAAGAAACGGUGAAAGCUAAUAUCUUUUGCUAAUGACGGUACCUGAAGAAUAAGCACCGGCUAACUACGUGCCAGCAGCCGCGGUAAUACGUAGGGUGCAAGCGUUAAUCGGAAUUACUGGGCGUAAAGCGUGCGCAGGCGGUUUUGUAAGUCUGAUGUGAAAUCCCCGGGCUCAACCUGGGAAUUGCAUUGGAGACUGCAAGGCUAGAAUCUGGCAGAGGGGGGUAGAAUUCCACGUGUAGCAGUGAAAUGCGUAGAUAUGUGGAGGAACACCGAUGGCGAAGGCAGCCCCCUGGGUCAAGAUUGACGCUCAUGCACGAAAGCGUGGGGAGCAAACAGGAUUAGAAACCCCGGUAGUCCC
This 472-nucleotide ribosomal RNA is filed under the name uncultured organism. Its description in RNAcentral is "partial 16S ribosomal RNA". It matches the Rfam family "Bacterial small subunit ribosomal RNA", at positions 332 to 797 of the family's 1533-position model. The record is from RNAcentral.